UGUGUAGACAAGUGUGCACGGCGCAUUGUGGUAUGUUCAUGUUUCCAAGAUGCGUUUUGGUCGAUUAUUGAAGGAACCACAACACAAGUUUCGCUUUGUGGCCUUUUUGAGUGUAGCGGAACGCGUUGUGAGCUCUUUUGGGGGUGGCACGACACGAAUUUCGCGUUGUGGUUGGGUCAGAGGGGUCGGAGCGCGAUGUGGUCGUUUUUUUGCUCAAAGAGCGUUUUCGGUUGUUGAGCCUAACAUAUAUACAAAAGUGAAAGAGUGGAUACAGUAUUUAAAAAGUUAGUGCUUGCUUAAUUUAUUACUGCUUGAAAUAAGACCCUAAACUCGUUUGCUUUGUCUUUUCAAUAGCCUUUCGCUGAAUGGUGCUACAUAAAUUUCUGAGGAUUAAUUUUUCCAUGCAGUUACUGUUUUCUUGGUGUUCUGAGUAAUCAGGAAGAGCUUUGC
This 450-nucleotide long non-coding RNA is filed under the name Androctonus crassicauda. Lineage: Eukaryota; Metazoa; Arthropoda; Arachnida; Scorpiones; Buthidae. The record is from RNAcentral.